This 512-nucleotide ribosomal RNA is filed under the name Xymenella pusilla. RNAcentral's name for it is "partial 12S ribosomal RNA". The record is from RNAcentral. Lineage: Eukaryota; Metazoa; Mollusca; Gastropoda; Neogastropoda; Muricidae.
AACCAACAAAGUUAACUCAUAUUUAUAACGGUAAAAACACAGUUAAAUAACUAUAAGAAGUUUAUUUAAUGUUUAUAAAAAGGUAGAAUUUGAAUAAAAACACAUAAUCCUAUUAUAACUUAUGUAUUGAAGCUGUGACAGCCUUGAGGGAAACUGGGAUUAGAUACCCCAUUAUUCUUGGUCACAAAUUAAAUAUAUUUACCACAGUACUAUGAACCAUAAAAGUUUAAAACUCUUAGAGCUUGGCGGUGUUUUAGACCUUUCAGGGGAACCUGUCUCAUAAUCGACAAUCCACGUUAUACCUAACCUUUUUUUGCUCUCAGUUUGUAUACCGUCGUCGUCAGGUAACUUUUAAAAAUUUAAAAGUUAGCAUUAAAAACUAUAUAAGUUUAAACGUCAGAUCAAGGUGCAGCCUAUAUAAAGGUGAGGAUGGGUUACAAUUAUUAAAUUAUAAUUACGAACUAAUUGUUUGAAUAAACAAUAAUAAAGGAGGACUUGAAAGUAAAUUGAAU